RNAcentral lists this ribosomal RNA (280 nucleotides) under uncultured bacterium. RNAcentral's name for it is "partial small subunit ribosomal RNA". It matches the Rfam family "Bacterial small subunit ribosomal RNA", at positions 26 to 291 of the family's 1533-position model. The record is from RNAcentral.
AGGACGAACGCUAGCGGCGUGUUUGAAACAUGCAAGUCGAACGGAGCAGUCAGCAAUGGCUGUCGAGUGGCGAACGGGUGCGUAACACGUAAAGAACCUACCCUUUAGCGGGGGAUAGCCCUGGGAAACCGGGGGUAAUACCGCAUGAGCCUCUUUUGUCGCAUGAGAGAAGAGGGAAAGGCUGAUGAGUCAAAAGCUUAACAGUCACUGAAGGAAGGCUUUGCGGCCUAUCAGGUAGUUGGUGGGUGAAGGCCUACCAAGCCAAAGACGGGUAGCUGGU